CCGCGCUAGACGGGGAGCUAGCGGUGCCCUGAACCCGAAAUCCGCUUAUGCGGGGUUGAAUUCCUUUUUGAGGGCUCAACUUAAAAGGUAACUAGUUUUAUGUUGAAAAGGGUCUGACUUUGCGCAACAGACGGUUACGAACCCCGUCAGGUCCGGAAGGAAGCAGCGGUAAGUAAUGCGGUUUGUGUCGUAAAUGCUUCGGGUCUUACUUUCACUUAAGGCCAAGUCCUUUCAAGACCGGCUCGAUUAAAAGGUGCGCGG
Molecule: signal recognition particle RNA, 261 nt
Filed under: Deltaproteobacteria bacterium
Lineage: Bacteria; Pseudomonadati; Myxococcota; Myxococcia
Description: signal recognition particle sRNA large type
Rfam family: Bacterial large signal recognition particle RNA
About the family: The signal recognition particle (SRP) is a universally conserved ribonucleoprotein involved in the co-translational targeting of proteins to membranes. Archaeal SRP consists of a 7S RNA and homologues of the eukaryotic SRP19 and SRP54 proteins.
Source: RNAcentral